AAACCAUGCAUUGGGCAUUUAUACAGAAAAUCUUUAAAUCGCUCCCAAGCUUUAUACAAAUUUUCAUCUUCUAAUUGCUUGAAAGAUACAAUGUCAUUUCGGAACUU
Small nucleolar RNA from Hibiscus syriacus, 107 nucleotides. The record is from RefSeq and is a predicted model, not a curated record. NCBI's taxonomy places the organism in Eukaryota, Viridiplantae, Streptophyta, Magnoliopsida, Malvales, Malvaceae.